This 221-nucleotide unclassified non-coding RNA is filed under the name Hevea brasiliensis (rubber tree). Lineage: Eukaryota; Viridiplantae; Streptophyta; Magnoliopsida; Malpighiales; Euphorbiaceae. The record is from RNAcentral.
GUUCGAAUUUGUUCAGGUUUAAGAGCAAUACACAAAGCCAAACAAAGGCUAUACAGACAUAAAUAUGAACAAAUCUGUACAGCAUUUGUUCAUAUCAAACUAUCAAAUUUCUUUAUUAAAAUUUGUGGAUGUCAAUUUACAAAUUGGUAACAAGUCCUUCAAAAAUAUUGGCGUUUCUAGAUCAACAUUAUAGCACCGUAGAGAGAGAGAGAGAGAGAGAG